GGGCCCGCACAAGCAGUGGAGCAUGUGGUUUAAUUCGAAGAUACGCGCAGAACCUUACCAACACUUGACAUGUUCGUCGCGACUUUAAGAGAUUAAAGUUUUCGGUUCGGCCGGACGAAACACAGGUGCUGCAUGGCUGUCGUCAGCUCGUGUCGUGAGAUGUUGGGUUAAGUCCCGCAACGAGCGCAACCCUCACUUUUAGUUGCCAUCAUUAAGUUGGGCACUCUGAAAGAACUGCCAGUGAUAAGCUGGAGGAAGGUGGGGAUGACGUCAAGUCCUCAUGGCCCUUACGUGUUGGGCUACACACGUGCUACAAUGGUAUCUACAACAGGAAGCAAGACUGCGAGGUCAAGCAAAUCCCUAAAAGAUACCUCAGUUCGGAUUGCACUCUGCAACUCGAGUGCAUG
This 407-nucleotide ribosomal RNA is filed under the name uncultured bacterium. RNAcentral describes it as "bacterial SSU rRNA". It matches the Rfam family "Bacterial small subunit ribosomal RNA", at positions 917 to 1322 of the family's 1533-position model. The record is from RNAcentral.